CCCCUAGAUGUUCUGGGCCGCACGCGCGCUACACUGAACAGUUCAACAAGUCUUAACCUUGGCCGAUAGGUCUAGGUAAUCUUUGAACGCUGUUCGUGAUUGGGAUAGACCUUUGCAAUUAUGGGUCUUCAACGAGGAAUUCCUAGUAAACGCAAGUCAUCAGCUUGCAUUGAUUACGUCCCUGCCCUUUGUACACACCGCCCGUCGCACCUACCGAUUGAAUGGUCCGGUGAAAUCUCGGGACGGCGGCUUGGUCGCUUGCGUCCGACUGCUGAAACUUGAUUAAACCAUAUCAUUUAGAGGAAGGUGAANUCGUANCA
RNAcentral lists this ribosomal RNA (320 nucleotides) under uncultured eukaryote. RNAcentral describes it as "partial 18S ribosomal RNA". It matches the Rfam family "Eukaryotic small subunit ribosomal RNA", at positions 1470 to 1796 of the family's 1831-position model. The record is from RNAcentral.